Molecule: long non-coding RNA, 654 nt
Organism: Podarcis raffonei (Aeolian wall lizard)
Lineage: Eukaryota; Metazoa; Chordata; Lepidosauria; Squamata; Lacertidae
Exons: 3
Source: RefSeq, a predicted model, not a curated record
UCCCACGCGCGUGUUCUCUGCGGAUGAACUCCGUCGACGAAUCACCCUCCCUCGCAAAGCUUCGAAAGCGAGGGAGAAGCGCGCCGAGCUCUGAUUGGUCCUCGUGACCUCGCCGUCCCUCCCGCUCCUUCUGACAGGCAUGUGAUGCCGAACGUUUCCGAAGCCGGUCGGUUGCAGCCGGCUGCGGCUCAAUGGGAAGCGUACCGUAUUUACCCCGCUCUGCGAAAGAACCGAAAGCUACCGAGGAGUCCCGAAAGUUACCGAAGCGACCCGGAGUUUUCGAACGCGCUCCACAGAUUCACUGGAUUUAGAAGCGGAGGGACAGCUCCAUUGGUUACGCCCAUGGAGAAGGUGCAAAGCUGGUUAUUAGGAAGGAGAGAGAAAAAUGUUGCGCUGCACACUGAAACUAUGCUCAGCUCUCUCCCCAGCAUAACUUCAGAAGUGGCACAUUCAUGCUUGCCUGUGCUCAAUCUUACGGACUAGAAACUUGGGUUUAAAAACCAACAAGAAAUUGAAAGCUGAGAUGAUUUGAAUGCUGAAUUACGAACCAAAAGGCACUUGCCUGAGGUUCGUGCAGUGAACUAUGGAAUAAUUAUACACACAGCUCUGGGUAUGUGGCAAGACUCCAACUAUAUCAAUAAACACAUCACCUGU